RNAcentral lists this ribosomal RNA (301 nucleotides) under uncultured bacterium. Its description in RNAcentral is "partial 16S ribosomal RNA". It matches the Rfam family "Bacterial small subunit ribosomal RNA", at positions 509 to 807 of the family's 1533-position model. The record is from RNAcentral.
CAGCCGCCACGGUAAUACGUAGGUGGCAAGCGUUGUCCGGAAUUAUUGGGCGUAAAGGGCUCGCAGGCGGUUUCUUAAGUCUGAUGUGAAAGCCCCCGGCUCAACCGGGGAGGGUCAUUGGAAACUGGGAAACUUGAGUGCAGAAGAUGAGAGUGGAAUUCCACGUGUAGCGGUGAAAUGCGUAGAGAUGUGGAGGAAUACCAGUGGCGAAGGCGACUCUCUGGUCUGUAACUGACGCUGAGGAGCGAAAGCGUGGGGAGCGAACAGGAUUAGAGACCCCCGUAGUCCCUGUCUCUUAUAC